UAUAUAAGGGGUAGCUCUAAGAAUGCAAAUGAACCCUACAAUUAUAUUAAAGAGGGAAGUCUCUGUCAGCGGUGUGUAAGCCGUCCUCUUGAGUCGGAAACCUAAAGCUGUUACCGCUUUCGCUCACCUGGUCUUUCGGGUUCAUUUUGUCUUAGUUUUAGCUAUCCCCUAUCUCU
This 176-nucleotide non-coding RNA is filed under the name Bdellovibrionales bacterium. RNAcentral describes it as "6S RNA". It matches the Rfam family "6S / SsrS RNA". Rfam says of the family: E. coli 6S RNA was the first non coding RNA to be sequenced, but its function was unknown until recently. It consists of 184 nucleotides that fold into an extended hairpin structure with a large single-stranded internal bulge. The record is from RNAcentral. Lineage: Bacteria; Pseudomonadati; Bdellovibrionota; Bdellovibrionia; Bdellovibrionales.